Molecule: ribosomal RNA, 429 nt
Filed under: Actinomycetes bacterium
Lineage: Bacteria; Bacillati; Actinomycetota; Actinomycetes
Description: Actinobacteria bacterium partial 16S ribosomal RNA
Rfam family: Bacterial small subunit ribosomal RNA
Source: RNAcentral
UAGGGAAUCUUCCGCAAUGGGCGAAAGCCUGACGGAGCAACGCCGCGUGAGUGAUGAAGGUCUUCGGAUCGUAAAACUCUGUUAUUAGGGAAGAACAAAUGUGUAAGUAACUAUGCACGUCUUUACGGUACCUAAUCAGAAAGCCACGGCUAACUACGUGCCAGCAGCCGCGGUAAUACGUAGGUGGCAAGCGUUAUCCGGAAUUAUUGGGGGUAAAGCGCGCGUAGGCGGUUUUUUAAGUCUGAUGUGAAAGCCCACGGCUCAACCGUGGAGGGGCAUUGGAAACUGGAAAACUUGAGUGCAGAAGAGGAAAGUGGAAUUCCAUGUGUAGCGGUGAAAUGCGCAGAGAUAUGGAGGAACACCAGUGGCGAAGGCGACUUUCUGGUCUGUAACUGACGCUGAUGUGCGAAAGCGUGGGGAUCAAACAGG